Molecule: ribosomal RNA, 400 nt
Filed under: uncultured bacterium
Lineage: Bacteria
Description: bacterial SSU rRNA
Rfam family: Bacterial small subunit ribosomal RNA
Source: RNAcentral
UGGGGAAUUUUGGACAAUGGGCGCAAGCCUGAUCCAGCCAUGCCGCGUGCAGGAAGAAGGCCUUCGGGUUGUAAACUGCUUUAGUCUAGGAAAAAGGGAUGCGAGGUUAAUACCCUCGUGUUUUGAUGGUACUGGAAGAAUAAGCACCGGCUAACUACGUGCCAGCAGCCGCGGUAAUACGUAGGGUGCGAGCGUUAAUCGGAAUUACUGGGCGUAAAGCGUGCGCAGGCGGUCUUGUAAGACAGUCGUGAAAGCCCCGGGCUUAACCUGGGAACUGCGAUUGUGACUGCAAGGCUAGAGUGUGUCAGAGGGGGGUGGAAUUCCACGUGUAGCAGUGAAAUGCGUAGAGAUGUGGAGGAACACCGAUGGCGAAGGCAGCCCCCUGGGAUAACACUGACGC